Molecule: ribosomal RNA, 660 nt
Filed under: Nocardiopsis sp. 11520
Lineage: Bacteria; Bacillati; Actinomycetota; Actinomycetes; Streptosporangiales; Nocardiopsidaceae
Description: bacterial SSU rRNA
Rfam family: Bacterial small subunit ribosomal RNA
Source: RNAcentral
UGCAAGUCGAGCGGUAAGGCCCUUCGGGGUACACGAGCGGCGAACGGGUGAGUAACACGUGAGCAACCUGCCCCUGACUCUGGGAUAAGCGGUGGAAACGCCGUCUAAUACCGGAUACGACCUUCCGCCUCAUGGUGGAGGGUGGAAAGUUUUUUCGGUCAGGGAUGGGCUCGCGGCCUAUCAGCUUGUUGGUGGGGUAACGGCCUACCAAGGCGAUUACGGGUAGCCGGCCUGAGAGGGCGACCGGCCACACUGGGACUGAGACACGGCCCAGACUCCUGCGGGAGGCAGCAGUGGGGAAUAUUGCGCAAUGGGCGAAAGCCUGACGCAGCGACGCCGCGUGGGGGAUGACGGCCUUCGGGUUGUAAACCUCUUUUACCACCAACGCAGGCUCCGGGUUCUCUCGGGGUUGACGGUAGGUGGGGAAUAAGGACCGGCUAACUACGUGCCAGCAGCCGCGGUAAUACGUAGGGUCCGAGCGUUGUCCGGAAUUAUUGGGCGUAAAGAGCUCGUAGGCGGCGUGUCGCGUCUGCUGUGAAAGACCGGGGCUUAACUCCGGUUCUGCAGUGGAUACGGGCAUGCUAGAGGUAGGUAGGGGAGACUGGAAUUCCUGGUGUAGCGGUGAAAUGCGCAGAUAUCAGGAGGAACACCGGUGGCGAA